RNAcentral lists this ribosomal RNA (253 nucleotides) under uncultured bacterium. RNAcentral's name for it is "partial 16S ribosomal RNA". It matches the Rfam family "Bacterial small subunit ribosomal RNA", at positions 524 to 776 of the family's 1533-position model. The record is from RNAcentral.
UACGGAGGAGGCAAGCGUUAUCCGGAAUUAUUGGGCGUAAAGCGUCCGCAGGUGGCACUUCAAGUCUGUCGUCAAAGACUGGGGCUUAACCCUGGAGAGGCCGUGGAAACUGAAUAGCUAGAGUGCAGUAGGGGUAGAGGGAAUUCCCGGUGUAGCGGUGAAAUGCGUAGAGCUCGGGAAGAACAUCGGUGGCGAAAGCGCUCUGCUGGACUGCAACUGACACUCAGGGACGAAAGCUAGGGGAGCGAAUGGG